AAUCGGACAAUUCACACAAAAAUGUAUAUUCAAUGACAUGCAAAAUACUAUAGUAUGUAAAAUGAAUAAGCUAGUUUUCACACAUCGCUAGUGUAUCACAACGACCUCGUCAGGAAAGACUGCAGCAUGUGUAUGUAGAACGUGUCUAAUGCUGUAAGAAGGAAGCUCUAGAAUUAGACAUCUUCUAUCAAAUUAAAAAAAUCUCCCCAUAAGAGUCACCUAAGGAGAAUCACGUAAAGAGAGUCACCUAAGAGUGAUCCUCACAUCUAACCAUUUUCCAAAAGGAACUAUUUUUUUUUAAAUAGUCAGGAGAAAAAAAAAAAUACAAAAUCAGUGCCUGAACAAGAUAUCACAUGACCACAGUGGUGCUUUAUAACUGUGAAAACCAAAAAGCAGAACUUCAGGUCCAGUCCACUUGAAGCAACAACGUCCAAUAACCUUACGUUCAACUCCAGCAAUAUGGACUUUUCUGGCAAAUUUCAGACAGGAAUAGAAUUUGGAGAGAUGGAUCUGUAUUUGAUGUCAAUACAGAAAGAGAGUACAUGAAUACUGAGAGAUAUCGGACACCUCAAAACACAGGUACUGAGACUCAUUGUAUUAUAAUUACAACUGUCAGUUUAUGUCUAAGCAAAUCACCGUUUGAACUGCACAUACAAUUGCUAAUGUGAAAACUGUAAUGCGGACCUGGGAAUGCAUCAUGGUACUAAACCUAAGACUUCCUAUAGACAUACAUCAGAGCUGGCCUGAGUUUGAGUUGGCUUGAUUUACAAGAAUGUGAAAGCAAACUCAAACUCACUUGUUAGUAUACAUUAGAUUAGUAAUAUGUGCCCUUAAGUGCUACUAUGAAUUAUUUAGGGGUACAUUUUGUGAUGUCAAGAUGACUACAAAUGCAUGGGGCUUGAGACAACACUGCAGAAGGUACUGAAUUUGAAUUUGGACCACAACAAAUCUGUCCCGUGUGAAAGCACACAAACUGACAUAUUUAAGUCAUAAGAGAGUUUAAGAAACAUUAAUCUUCAUAUAUGUCAUCUUCUUUUUAGUGAGGAUCAGAAACUACAGAGCAGCUGUAGUGUGUUUGGUUCUGCUGUGUGUUGUUCUGCUGUUCUGUUCUUCUUCAUAGUGCUGUGUUGGCAAAGACUUAACCCUCACAUGGUUUACCAGGCUAAGGACACAAAACAAGAAUGAGCACAACUGACAAUGGAAGGCGUCGAGCCAUUCACUCUCUAAAGAAGCCAAGUGCUGCAUACUUCAACACAUCUACAUGGGAACACGUAACGUAAUUGUUUAAUAAUUGAUGAUUAAAGAGCAAACAUGUCUGAUGCCAUUUACGAUGAUGUCAUCAGAGCUGAGGACAUGAAGAGAGAUAGAGUGGAGAUGACAGUGGAUAUCCUAUGAGAGUGCAGAUUCUGUCAGGGAUCAUGACUUCACGACAAAGACAAACAAACCCCCACAAACAAAAAAAGCCCCACCACAUCAGCAGACAGGAAGUGAUUCAGUGAAGAUCAGAAGCUCCAGAACAGCUGUAGUGUGUUUGGUUCUGCUGUGUGUUCUUUUGCUGACUGCAGUCAUAGUGCUGUGUGUCCACAUCUAUAAUAAGAGCACACACUGCACCAAACUCACAGAAGAAAGAAAUGGC
Carassius auratus (goldfish) is the source of this 1636-nucleotide long non-coding RNA. RefSeq lists it as uncharacterized. NCBI's taxonomy places the organism in Eukaryota, Metazoa, Chordata, Actinopteri, Cypriniformes, Cyprinidae. The record is from RefSeq and is a predicted model, not a curated record. The transcript has 4 exons.